Molecule: transfer RNA, 86 nt
Filed under: Microcaldota archaeon
Lineage: Archaea; Nanobdellati; Microcaldota
Description: tRNA-Ser
Rfam family: tRNA
About the family: Transfer RNA (tRNA) molecules are approximately 80 nucleotides in length.
Source: RNAcentral
GCCAAGGUGGCAGAAUCCGGUAACGCGUACGCCUGGAAAGCGUAUGGUCCUCACGGGCCAUUAGGGUUCAAAUCCCUACCUUGGCG